This 253-nucleotide ribosomal RNA is filed under the name uncultured bacterium. RNAcentral describes it as "partial 16S ribosomal RNA". It matches the Rfam family "Archaeal small subunit ribosomal RNA", at positions 474 to 727 of the family's 1478-position model. The record is from RNAcentral.
UACCCGCAGCACAAGUGGUGGUCAUUAUUAUUGGGCCUAAAGCGUCCGUAGCUGGCUUGUUAGAUGCCUGGGUAAAUCGAUGCGCUCAACGCAUCGAACUCCGGGUAGACCGGCAAGCUUGGGACCGGGAGAGAUGUGAGCUACUCGAGGGGUAGGGGUAAAAUCCUGUAAUCCUUCGGGGAGGACCAGUGGCGAAGGCGUCACAUUAGAACGGCUCCGACAGUGAGGGACGAAGCCCUGGGGCGCAAACCGG